GAAAACCCACUGAACUGAAGCAUCUCAAUAAGUGGAGGAAAAUAAACUAACUAGGAUACUCUUAGUAAGUGCGACCGAAGAGAGUAAAGCUCAAUAAUCUAAACUUUAAAUUUUUAUAAUUUAAAGUCAUGUGAUUUUCUAAACUCAUUGAAAUUUUUAUAAAUUAUGAUUGAAUUCAUAACUAUAAAGAGUUAUAGUCUCGUUAUUUAAAAUUUCAAGCAUGGGAAUUAGAAUUAAAGAGUCGGGUAGCUUGAGAAUGCUGCCUUAAUAUAGGUGGUACACCCCAUCUAAAGCUAAAUAUUGUAAAGAGACCGAUAGCAUACAAGUAGUGUGAACGAAAGAUGAAAAGAACUCCUAAACGGAGAAUUAAAAGCGCCUGAACUUGUCUAGGUUUUCGCAUUUCUUUAAUGCGCCCGUCUUGAAACACGGAUUAGGGAGUUUUACUUAAAUACGAGUCUUUAACUUUUAAAGUAAUUUUUUUAAAAAAGGCGAAAAGAAAUUAACUGGUUUUUUUAACAUGGCUAUAGAGUAUUUAAGUCAAAACCCGAAUGGAGGUGAACUAUUCCUGCAAAGAUUGAAGUCAGGGGAAACUCUGAUGGAAGAUCGUUGGCGUUAUUGAUGUGCAAAUCAUUUGCUUUAUGUAGGUAUAGGUGCGAAAGACUCAUCGAACCUCCUAAUAGCUGGUUUCCUCCGAAGUUUCCCUCAGGAUAGCUGUAACAUUUUUAAAUAGUUAAGGAUAGUAGAGAAAUGGGUAGAGGUGUAGUGGAACUACGGUUCUGCAACUUAUUUCCAAACUUCGAACGUUCUUGAUAUAAAAAAUUACCUAAUAGGAAUUUUUUAUUUAAAUAUAUGUUAUAAGUGGGCUCUGACCGGUAAGCGGUCAUGGCGAAAAGGGAUGAACCUAACGUAUAAAUAAGGUGCCUAAAUUUACUAACAAUGAAACCAUUAAAAGAGUCCAUGUAUUUAGACAGCGGGUCGGUGCCCCUAAAAGCAGGUAUCCGUUAAUGAGUGUGUUAAAACUCCCCCGCCGAAUACUCUGGCCUUGAAAAUGAAUGGCGCAUAUAGUAAUACCGAUAUUAUACAUUAAAAUUAUUUAAAAAUUUUAAAAGUAGGGGGAUGUGGAUAUCUUAGAGAAUUUUUAAUUGUAAAAUUGAAUUGAAAGAUAUCUAUUACAGAUCCUAAUUGAAGUAGCGAUUAUCCAGGUUAAUCUCCUGGGGGCUGAUGAGGAGUAGGGUUUCUGGGCAACUUAAACGGACCCAGAGUUAGUCGAUCCUAAUCAAAUUAAAUUUAGAGAAAGGGAAUAUGAAUGAUAUUUCAUAACUAAAAUUAAUUUUUAAAUGGUGACAUUUUUUUAAACUUAUUUCCAUCAAUUAAAUACUGUUUAAUAGGGAUUUCUUUCCUAUAUAACUUUUUAAUUAAAACUUAAGAAACAGGUUAACUGGAGAAUAAAGUUUUAAUUUAGUAAAAUUAUAAUUUCGAUUAUAAUAACGGCUAUUUAAAUGAUCCAUGAAACAAUAAGUUUAUUUUUUCAAAAAUUAAUUUAAUCGUACCGAUAACCGCAUCAGGUCUCCAAGGUGAGUAGCUUCUGGCCAUUGAGUAAUGGUAAUUUAGGGAAUUCGGCCAAUUAGAGCUGUAACUUCGGGAUAAAGCUUGGCUCUGAUGGAAAUCAGAACCGAUAGUUACAAGGAGAGCCCAACUGUUUAAUAAAAACUUAGUGUCGCGUCAUACCUUUAUAAGUAAUAAACGUGACAUGAAUCCUGCUCAGUGCUGUGUUUGUUAAACUGGAUUAAUCCAUUUAAGCGCCGGUAAAUAGCUGGGGUAACUAUGACUCUUAUCAAAGUAGCGAAAUACCUCGUCACUUAAUUAGUGACCUGCAUGAACGGAGCUAUGAGGUUCUCACUGUCCCAAAUUAUCACUCAGCGAACCAACAGUUGUGGGAACGGGCACAAAUUAUCCAGCGGGGAAAGAAGACCCUGUAGAGCUUCACUUUGGUCUAAUCUUGUAUAGUUUCGUUAGGGGUGCAGUCUAGGUGGGAGAUUUUUAAUCAAAUAUGAGAAACCACUACCCUUUCUGGAAUUAUACUUACUAAAAUUCUUUUCUAAAUUUUAGGAUCGGAUUAGAUAGAAAGUUUGGCUGGGGCGGCACACCUUCGAAAAAGCAGCGAAGGUGUCCUAAGUUAAGCUCAGUAAGGACAGAAAUCUUACGUUGAGGAUAAGGCCAAAAGCUUAAUUUACUGUGCCUUUUUGUACUAGGAUCAGUUUGGAAACAAAGGCCUAACGAUCCCUAAUUAGUCUUAGGUGUGUAAGACUUGGGGUGACAGACAAGUUACCUCCGGGACAACUGGCUUGUGGCUGCUAAGAGAUCAAAUCAACGCAGCUUUUUGAUUCUUCGAUGUCGGCUCUUCC
Molecule: ribosomal RNA, 2405 nt
Filed under: human gut metagenome
Description: eukaryotic LSU rRNA
Rfam family: Eukaryotic large subunit ribosomal RNA
Source: RNAcentral